AGCGAAGACAGAAUCAGUCAUUGCCUUUCAGUUAUGUUAGUAGACUUACACUAACAUCACUACUGCUACCGCAAACACAACUUUUCAGAAAUAAUACAGGAAUAUUACAUUGAAUUGUAAUAUACAAUGAGUUAAUAAAAUUAAUUUGUACCCAUAAAAAUAGUUGGAAAUUCACUCGACUUCCUGCAACCCCCCUCAGUGAGGGGAAAAUGGUACAGUCUGUACGUUCACGCUGAUGAAGACGUUAAUUGGUUCUGAUGACGCUUAAUGGAGACUCCUUCGCCUAAAACCACUAUCGAAACACUAAAGUGGUACAUAAAUGAAAAGAAAACAAGAAAAGAGAAAACAAUUAGUGGCAAGUUUGUCAGAAGAGAAGGGAUGAACACCUGUAAUCAGAAAACUAGCUGAAGAAGAAGAAGCUGUUUAGACUCAAGUGGAAAGGAAGAGAGAAACAGCGUGAAGCAGCAGGCUCCUGACAUGUGAUGACGAUAUUGAAGACGUAACACAAGUUCGCUCCUGAUCCUGAAAUCUUGGGCUGAAGAUUGAUCCACAAUCCUCCUCAUCCCUGAAGGAGGAUGAAGAGCGAGCUCAGAC
Molecule: long non-coding RNA, 594 nt
Organism: Lates calcarifer (barramundi perch)
Lineage: Eukaryota; Metazoa; Chordata; Actinopteri; Centropomidae
Exons: 4
Source: RefSeq, a predicted model, not a curated record